Molecule: non-coding RNA, 84 nt
Organism: Pholiota conissans
Lineage: Eukaryota; Fungi; Basidiomycota; Agaricomycetes; Agaricales; Strophariaceae
Source: the annotation of a GenBank genome assembly
GGCCGUGUGGCGAAAUGGCAUCGCGUCUGACUACGAUUCAGAAAGCGCAUCAGGAGAUUGCAGGUUCGACCCCUGUCUCGGUCA